GAGUGGCGACGGGUGAGUAAUGUAUCGGAACGUGCCCAGUCGUGGGGAUAACUGCUCGAAAGAGCAGCUAAUACCGCAUACGACCUGAGGGUGAAAGCGGGGGAUCGCAAGACCUCGCGCGAUUGGAGCGGCCGAUAUCAGAUUAGGUAGUUGGUGAGGUAAAGGCUCACCAAGCCGACGAUCUGUAGCUGGUCUGAGAGGACGACCAGCCACACUGGGACUGAGACACGGCCCAGACUCCUACGGGAGGCAGCAGUGGGGAAUUUUGGACAAUGGGCGCAAGCCUGAUCCAGCCAUGCCGCGUGCGGGAAGAAGGCCUUCGGGUUGUAAACCGCUUUUGUCAGGGAAGAAAAGGUUCUGGCUAAUACCUGGGACUCAUGACGGUACCUGAAGAAUAAGCACCGGCUAACUACGUGCCAGCAGCCGCGGUAAUACGUAGGGUGCAAGCGUUAAUCGGAAUUACUGGGCGUAAAGCGUGCGCAGGCGGUUAUGCAAGACAGAGGUGAAAUCCCCGGGCUCAACCUGGGAACUGCCUUUGUGACUGCAUGGCUAGAGUACGGUAGAGGGGGAUGGAAUUCCGCGUGUAGCAGUGAAAUGCGUAGAUAUGCGGAGGAACACCGAUGGCGAAGGCAAUCCCCUGGACCUGUACUGACGCUCAUGCACGAAAGCGUGGGGAGCAAACAGGAUUAGAUAUCCUGGUAGUCCACGCCCUAAACGAUGUCAACUGGUUGUUGGGAGGGUUUCUUCUCAGUAACGUAGCUAACGCGUGAAGUUGACCGCCUGGGGAGUACGG
Molecule: ribosomal RNA, 793 nt
Filed under: uncultured bacterium
Lineage: Bacteria
Description: bacterial SSU rRNA
Rfam family: Bacterial small subunit ribosomal RNA
Source: RNAcentral